UUGGAAGGGUGGAGAAUCGCUCCUGGCGCGAGCCAGGGGAGGAAAGUCCGAACACCACAGGGCGCGAUGCCGCGUAACCUGUCGCCGCUGACGCAAGGAGGCGGACUUCAGGAUACACGCGGGCGGUGACGGCGCGAGUCGUCCCAACGGACAGUGCCACAGAAAACAGACUACCUGUUCCGGCGACGGAGCGGGAAAAGGUGAAAAGGUGGUGUAAGAGACCACCGCUCGUCGAGUAAUCGGCGGGGCACGGAAAACCCCAUCGGGUGCAAGGCCAAAUAGGGAACCCCGGAGCGGCCCGCUCCAGCGUCCGCGAAAGCGGAACGGGUUCCGGGUAUGGCUGCUGAGAUAAAUGAUUCUCUCCCGCGGAGAAGUCCGUGGCAGACAGAAUUCGGCUUACAGCCCUUCCAAAACC
RNAcentral lists this RNase P RNA (415 nucleotides) under Verrucomicrobiota bacterium. RNAcentral's name for it is "Verrucomicrobia bacterium (marine sediment metagenome) RNase P RNA component class A". It matches the Rfam family "Bacterial RNase P class A". Rfam says of the family: Ribonuclease P (RNase P) is a ubiquitous endoribonuclease, found in archaea, bacteria and eukarya as well as chloroplasts and mitochondria. Lineage: Bacteria; Pseudomonadati; Verrucomicrobiota. The record is from RNAcentral.